Suricata suricatta (meerkat) is the source of this 503-nucleotide long non-coding RNA. RefSeq lists it as uncharacterized. The transcript has 3 exons. NCBI's taxonomy places the organism in Eukaryota, Metazoa, Chordata, Mammalia, Carnivora, Herpestidae. The record is from RefSeq and is a predicted model, not a curated record.
UAGAUUCGUGUGGUUUUCAAGAUGACCUGGCCAAUACUUCAUUUUGCAAGACAAGCAACUGGGGCCCACAGGAGCAGAGGGUCCAUUAAAGCAGAGACAAUGUGUCCCCAGUAAGUAGCACAGUACUUGACACAUGCUGUUCCCAUCAACGUUAAUGGUAAUAAUAAUAAAAUGAAAACAACAACACUGAACAACAGCAUCUAUGAGUGCUUACCACAGGCCAGGCUGUAAGAAGAAGCUACCACAGCCACAAUGCCUCUCUUCUAAGUCAUGAAGGAGUAUCUUGGGAGGCUGGAGUAUUCAUUACCAAAUUUUGUUGAUUCUACUUUCAAAGUCCUUUGUAAAUUUCUCCACUUAUUUCUACUCUCCCUGCCACCAUCUUUUUUUGCUGGAGUAAUACAGAAGACAUUUUCAGUUCUCAACGAUUUGGUUUGAUCUCUUAGUAGGCAUGCUGUUUAACUUAUCUAUUAAAGGUGUUAAAAUUUCAUUGACCAUUUUUAUUU